AACGAACGCUGGCGGCAUGCCUAACACAUGCAAGUCGAACGAAGGCUUCGGCCUUAGUGGCGCACGGGUGCGUAACGCGUGGGAACCUGCCCUUUGGUUCGGAAUAACCAGGAGAAAUUCUGGCUAAUACCGGAUGAUGUCGAAAGACCAAAGAUUUAUCGCCAUAGGAUGGGCCCGCGUAGGAUUAGCUAGUUGGUGAGGUAAAGGCUCACCAAGGCGACGAUCCUUAGCUGGUCUGAGAGGAUGAUCAGCCACACUGGGACUGAGACACGGCCCAGACUCCUACGGGAGGCAGCAGUGGGGAAUAUUGGACAAUGGGCGAAAGCCUGAUCCAGCAAUGCCGCGUGAGUGAUGAAGGCCUUAGGGUUGUAAAGCUCUUCUACCCGGGAUGAUAAUGACAGUACCGGGAGAAUAAGCCCCGGCUAACUCCGUGCCAGCCGCCGCCGUAA
This 449-nucleotide ribosomal RNA is filed under the name uncultured bacterium. RNAcentral's name for it is "partial 16S ribosomal RNA". It matches the Rfam family "Bacterial small subunit ribosomal RNA", at positions 29 to 523 of the family's 1533-position model. The record is from RNAcentral.